AUUGAACGCUGGCGGCAGGCUUAACACAUGCAAGUCGAGCGGGGGAAGGUAGCUUGCUACCGGACCUAGCGGCGGACGGGUGAGUAAUGCUUAGGAAUCUGCCUAUUAGUGGGGGACAACAUCUCGAAAGGGAUGCUAAUACCGCAUACGUCCUACGGGAGAAAGCAGGGGAUCUUCGGACCUUGCGCUAAUAGAUGAGCCUAAGUCGGAUUAGCUAGUUGGUGGGGUAAAGGCCUACCAAGGCGACGAUCUGUAGCGGGUCUGAGAGGAUGAUCCGCCACACUGGGACUGAGACACGGCCCAGACUCCUACGGGAGGCAGCAGUGGGGAAUAUUGGACAAUGGGGGGAACCCUGAUCCAGCCAUGCCGCGUGUGUGAAGAAGGCCUUAUGGUUGUAAAGCACUUUAAGCGAGGAGGAGGCUACUUUAGUUAAUACCUAGAGAUAGUGGACGUUACUCGCAGAAUAAGCACCGGCUAACUCUGUGCCAGCAGCCGCGGUAAUACAGAGGGUGCGAGCGUUAAUCGGAUUUACUGGGCGUAAAGCGUGCGUAGGCGGCUUAUUAAGUCGGAUGUGAAAUCCCCGAGCUUAACUUGGGAAUUGCAUUCGAUACUGGUGAGCUAGAGUAUGGGAGAGGAUGGUAGAAUUCCAGGUGUAGCGGUGAAAUGCGUAGAGAUCUGGAGGAAUACCGAUGGCGAAAGCAGCCAUCUGGCCUAAUACUGACGC
This 724-nucleotide ribosomal RNA is filed under the name Acinetobacter baumannii OIFC137. Its description in RNAcentral is "bacterial SSU rRNA". It matches the Rfam family "Bacterial small subunit ribosomal RNA", at positions 28 to 746 of the family's 1533-position model. The record is from RNAcentral. Lineage: Bacteria; Pseudomonadati; Pseudomonadota; Gammaproteobacteria; Moraxellales; Moraxellaceae. RNAcentral also lists the same sequence under 5 other names.